Molecule: ribosomal RNA, 407 nt
Filed under: Polybia spinifex
Lineage: Eukaryota; Metazoa; Arthropoda; Insecta; Hymenoptera; Vespidae
Description: partial large subunit ribosomal RNA
Source: RNAcentral
GCCUGUCGGCCUAUUUUAAAAGGCUGCGGUAUAUUAACUGUACAAAGGUAGCAAAAUAAAUAGUUUUUUAAUUGAAAACUUGAAUGAAAGAGUUGAUAAAAUAUAAAUUGUCUCAAUUAUUGAAUUUAAAUUUAAAGUUAAAAUACUUUAAUAUUUUUAUAAGACGAUAAGACCCUAAGAAUUUUAUUAUUUAAUUUUUUUUAAAAAUUUAUUUAGAUUAAAAUAAUUUUAUUGGGAGGGUAAUUAAAUAAAACUUUAAUUAAAUUAAAUAUAUUUAGAUAAAUAAAAUGAUUAUUUUAAAGAUUAUAAGAAUAAAUUACCUUAGGGAUAACAGCGUAAUAAUUUUGGAGAGUUCAUAUUGAUAAAAUUGUUUGCGACCUCGAUGUUGAAUUAAAAUAAAAAUUAAA